UACGGAGGGGGCUAGCGUUGUUCGGAAUUACUGGGCGUAAAGCGCACGUAGGCGGACUGGAAAGUCAGAGGUGAAAUCCCAGGGCUCAACCUUGGAACUGCCUUUGAAACUCCCGGUCUUGAGGUCGAGAGAGGUGAGUGGAAUUCCGAGUGUAGAGGUGAAAUUCGUAGAUAUUCGGAGGAACACCAGUGGCGAAGGCGGCUCACUGGCUCGAUACUGACGCUGAGGUGCUAAAGCGUGGGGAGCAAACAGG
RNAcentral lists this ribosomal RNA (253 nucleotides) under uncultured bacterium. Its description in RNAcentral is "partial 16S ribosomal RNA". It matches the Rfam family "Bacterial small subunit ribosomal RNA", at positions 524 to 776 of the family's 1533-position model. The record is from RNAcentral.